UUGUCUCCCACUAAAAGAAAAAAAAAGCGUCCUCGCUUUCUGACUCCCACAGCUACAACUUCGGCGCAAUUCUAAAUCUUCCACAACUGCAUGGCCUCCUCCGGCGUCGGAUCUUCAUCUAGGGCGGCUGUCAUGUAAGCGGCGUAUGGUGCGGCAGUAUGGGGUUCGUCAAUGAAUGCCGAACUUUCACCGUCUUCUUCGAUUGUCAUGGCAGCAUCCGGCGGGUGAUAGGCGAAUAGAUCGGCGACAUUGAAGGGACCAAUUUUGCGGGGUUUCAACUUCGAAUAUGAACCAAUUGGGUGUCUCUCACGUCGAAGAAAUGUUUCCUCAAAUAGCGCCUCAUCUUUGGCCAAGUACGUAUUUUCUCCUUACCAUCUCUUCUUCUAUUUGCUUUAAAUUGUUCCCACCAUGCUGAUGCUCCUCGUUUGAGUUUAUAUGCAACAAGUUUAACUCUACUCUCUCCCGGUAUUUCCAUGUACUCAAAAAAAUUUUCCACGUGUUGUAACCAAUCUAGAAAUUUUUCAAUA
Molecule: non-coding RNA, 527 nt
Organism: Momordica charantia (bitter melon)
Lineage: Eukaryota; Viridiplantae; Streptophyta; Magnoliopsida; Cucurbitales; Cucurbitaceae
Source: RefSeq, a predicted model, not a curated record